UUAUGAUGAGAAUUACAGCUGGCACCAGUCCUAGAAAGACUUGUACUCUUUUUGCUGCGGAUUAGCUUUGCAAAGGGCCUCGAGCCCGAAAUCUGAC
RNAcentral lists this small nucleolar RNA (97 nucleotides) under Paecilomyces variotii No. 5. Its description in RNAcentral is "Byssochlamys spectabilis No. 5 A. fumigatus snoRNA Afu_190". It matches the Rfam family "A. fumigatus snoRNA Afu_190". The record is from Rfam by way of RNAcentral. Lineage: Eukaryota; Fungi; Ascomycota; Eurotiomycetes; Eurotiales; Thermoascaceae.